Molecule: ribosomal RNA, 253 nt
Filed under: uncultured bacterium
Lineage: Bacteria
Description: partial 16S ribosomal RNA
Rfam family: Bacterial small subunit ribosomal RNA
Source: RNAcentral
UACGUAGGGCGCAAGCGUUGUCCGGAAUUAUUGGGCGUAAAGAGCUCGUAGGCGGUCUGUCGCGUCAGUUGUGAAAACUCGGGGCUCAACCCCGAGACGUCGAUUGAAACCCUCUGGCUAGAGUCCGGAAGAGGAGAGCGGAAUUCCUGGUGUAGCGGUGAAAUGCGCAGAUAUCAGGAAGAACACCCGUGGCGAAGGCGGCUCUCUGGGACGGUACUGACGCUGAGGAGCGAAAGCGUGGGGAGCGAACAGG